UGCUUCUGAUUGAUAACAUUUGAGUGAGUGGCGGACGGGUGAGUAACACGUGGGUAACCUGCCCUAAAGUGGGGGAUAACAUUUGGAAACAGAUGCUAAUACCGCAUAAAACCUAGCACCGCAUGGUGCAAGGUUGAAAGAUGGUUUCGGCUAUCACUUUAGGAUGGACCCGCGGUGCAUUAGUUAGUUGGUGAGGUAAAGGCUCACCAAGACCGUGAUGCAUAGCCGACCUGAGAGGGUAAUCGGCCACACUGGGACUGAGACACGGCCCAGACUCCUACGGGAGGCAGCAGUAGGGAAUCUUCCACAAUGGACGAAAGUCUGAUGGAGCAACGCCGCGUGAGUGAAGAAGGUUUUCGGAUCGUAAAACUCUGUUGUUGGAGAAGAACGUAUUUGAUAGUAACUGAUCAGGUAGUGACGGUAUCCAACCAGAAAGCCACGGCUAACUACGUGCCAGCAGCCGCGGUAAUACGUAGGUGGCAAGCGUUGUCCGGAUUUAUUGGGCGUAAAGCGAGCGCAGGCGGUUUCUUAAGUCUGAUGUGAAAGCCUUCGGCUCAACCGAAGAAGUGCAUCGGAAACUGGGAAACUUGAGUGCAGAAGAGGACAGUGGAACUCCAUGUGUAGCGGUGAAAUGCGUAGAUAUAUGGAAGAACACCAGUGGCGAAGGCGGCUGUCUGGUCUGUAACUGACGCUGAGGCUCGAAAGCAUGGGUAGCAAACAGGAUUAGAUACCCUGGUAGUCCAUGCCGUAAACGAUGAGUGCUAGGUGUUGGAGGGUUUCCGCCCUUCAGUGCCGCAGCUAACGCAUUAAGCACUCCGCCUGGGGAGUACGACCGCAAGGUUGAAACUCAAAGGAAUUGACGGGGGCCCGCACAAGCGGUGGAGCAUGUGGUUUAAUUCGAAGCAACGCGAAGAACCUUACCAGGUCUUGACAUCCUUUGACCACUCUAGAGAUAGAGCUUUCCCUUCGGGGACAAAGUGACAGGUGGUGCAUGGUUGUCGUCAGCUCGUGUCGUGAGAUGUUGGGUUAAGUCCCGCAACGAGCGCAACCCUUAUUACUAGUUGCCAGCAUUUAGUUGGGCACUCUAGUGAGACUGCCGGUGACAAACCGGAGGAAGGUGGGGACGACGUCAAAUCAUCAUGCCCCUUAUGACCUGGGCUACACACGUGCUACAAUGGAUGGUACAACGAGUCGCGAGACCGCGAGGUUUAGCUAAUCUCUUAAAACCAUUCUCAGUUCGGAUUGUAGGCUGCAACUCGCCUACAUGAAGCCGGAAUCGCUAGUAAUCGCGGAUCAGCAUGCCGCGGUGAAUACGUUCCCGGGCCUUGUACACACCGCCCGUCACACCAUGAGAGUUUGUAAC
Molecule: ribosomal RNA, 1363 nt
Filed under: Latilactobacillus graminis
Lineage: Bacteria; Bacillati; Bacillota; Bacilli; Lactobacillales; Lactobacillaceae
Description: bacterial SSU rRNA
Rfam family: Bacterial small subunit ribosomal RNA
Source: RNAcentral